Molecule: unclassified non-coding RNA, 353 nt
Filed under: soil metagenome
Description: partial contains 5.8S ribosomal RNA, internal transcribed spacer 2, and large subunit ribosomal RNA
Rfam family: 5.8S ribosomal RNA (bases 1-120)
Source: RNAcentral
GAUGAAGAACGUAGCGAAAUGCGAUAAGUAAUGUGAAUUGCAGAAUUCAGUGAAUCAUCGAAUCUUUGAACGCACAUUGCGCCCGCCAGUAUUCUGGCGGGCAUGCCUGUUCGAGCGUCAUUACAACCCUCAGGCCCCCGGGCCUGGCGUUGGGGAUCGGCGGAAGCCCCCUGCGGGCACAACGCCGUCCCCCAAAUACAGUGGCGGUCCCGCCGCAGCUUCCAUUGCGUAGUAGCUAACACCUCGCAACUGGAGAGCGGCGCGGCCACGCCGUAAAACACCCAACUUCUGAAUGUUGACCUCGAAUCAGGUAGGUAUACCCGCUGAACUUAAGCAUAUCAAUAAGCGGAGGA